CCCCCGCGCCCGGGACGCUCUCCAGGAAACACUCCGCCCCGAGCUCGGACUCCUGCCUGCGCCUGCCGCCUCCUUCCUGCUCGUCUGUCUUCGCCUGCCCCUUAUUGGUCACUGUCACCCCAGAAGGCUCCGUCCUCCGACCCUUCGCCCUCCGAGAACUCGUAAGGAGAGAGAAUUGAUGCCUGUGAGUUACAGCGUUGGUGAUGAAACCGAAUACACUACGAAUGCCCCUUAGAAUCAAGGCAGAAACACUUCUCUCUGCUCACUCCCUGCGAGACCUCC
Long non-coding RNA from Echinops telfairi (small Madagascar hedgehog), 282 nucleotides. RefSeq lists it as uncharacterized. The record is from RefSeq and is a predicted model, not a curated record. The transcript is spliced from 3 exons. Lineage: Eukaryota; Metazoa; Chordata; Mammalia; Afrosoricida; Tenrecidae.